AUGCAAGCUUUCCAUCAGUUCUACCACCUGGCUGGACAGAACUUUGGGGACUUAAACUCGGCGGUCGUCGCGCUGAUCCCCAAGAAAGAAGGAGUUGACUGCAUCAGUGAUUUCAGACCGAUCAGCCUGAUCCACUCUAUAGCCAAGCUGAUCUCCAAGGUCCUCUCCAUACGCCUCACAACAGUAGUGCAAUCCAUCAUCUCGCCAGCCCAGACGGCAUUCCUGAAGACUAGAUGCCUGCACGACAGCUUCUUCUACGUCCAAAACUGCGCCAAGAGCCUGCACCAUAGAAAUACACCGGCCGUCCUCCUCAAACUUGAUAUCUCCAGGGUUUCUACAAUGUAUCCUGGGAGUACCUCCUUGAGAUGUUGA
RNAcentral lists this ribosomal RNA (372 nucleotides) under Triticum aestivum (bread wheat). Its description in RNAcentral is "partial small subunit ribosomal RNA". The record is from RNAcentral. Lineage: Eukaryota; Viridiplantae; Streptophyta; Magnoliopsida; Poales; Poaceae.